AGGGCUGUAGCUCAGUGGCAGAGUGCUUGCCUUAUAUGCAGAAGGUCCUAGGUUCAAUCCCCAAUUGCAUCCCCA
Podarcis lilfordi (Lilford's wall lizard) is the source of this 75-nucleotide non-coding RNA. The record is from the annotation of a GenBank genome assembly. Lineage: Eukaryota; Metazoa; Chordata; Lepidosauria; Squamata; Lacertidae.